This 520-nucleotide ribosomal RNA is filed under the name uncultured bacterium. RNAcentral describes it as "bacterial SSU rRNA". It matches the Rfam family "Bacterial small subunit ribosomal RNA", at positions 120 to 674 of the family's 1533-position model. The record is from RNAcentral.
GGGAAUCUACCUUUUGCUACGGGAUAGCUCCGGGAAACUGGAAUUAAUACCGUAUGUGCCCUUCGGGGGAAAGAUUUAUCGGCAAAGGAUGAGCCCGCGUUGGAUUAGCUAGUUGGUGGGGUAAAGGCCUACCAAGGCGACGAUCCAUAGCUGGUCUGAGAGGAUGAUCAGCCACAUUGGGACUGAGACACGGCCCAAACUCCUACGGGAGGCAGCAGUGGGGAAUAUUGGACAAUGGGCGCAAGCCUGAUCCAGCCAUGCCGCGUGAGUGAUGAAGGCCCUAGGGUUGUAAAGCUCUUUCAACGGUGAAGAUAAUGACGGUAACCGUAGAAGAAGCCCCGGCUAACUUCGUGCCAGCAGCCGCGGUAAUACGAAGGGGGCUAGCGUUGUUCGGAAUUACUGGGCGUAAAGCGCACGUAGGCGGAUAUUUAAGUCAGGGGUGAAAUCCCGGGGCUCAACCUCGGAACUGCCUUUGAUACUGGGUAUCUUGAGUAUGGAAGAGGUAAGUGGAAUUGCGAGU